RNAcentral lists this ribosomal RNA (509 nucleotides) under uncultured bacterium. RNAcentral describes it as "bacterial SSU rRNA". It matches the Rfam family "Bacterial small subunit ribosomal RNA", at positions 9 to 514 of the family's 1533-position model. The record is from RNAcentral.
GAGUUUGAUCAUGGCUCAGAUUGAACGCUGGCGGCAGGCCUAACACAUGCAAGUCGAGCGGUAGAGAGAAGCUUGCUUCUCUUGAGAGCGGCGGACGGGUGAGUAAUGCCUAGGAAUCUGCCUGGUAGUGGGGGAUAACGCUCGGAAACGGACGCUAAUACCGCAUACGUCCUACGGGAGAAAGCAGGGGACCUUCGGGCCUUGCGCUAUCAGAUGAGCCUAGGUCGGAUUAGCUAGUUGGUGAGGUAAUGGCUCACCAAGGCGACGAUCCGUAACUGGUCUGAGAGGAUGAUCAGUCACACUGGAACUGAGACACGGUCCAGACUCCUACGGGAGGCAGCAGUGGGGAAUAUUGGACAAUGGGCGAAAGCCUGAUCCAGCCAUGCCGCGUGUGUGAGAAGGUCUUCGGAUUGUAAAGCACUUUAAGUUGGGAGGAAGGGCAGUAAAUUAAUACUUUGCUGUUUUGACGUUACCGACAGAAUAAGCACCGGCUAACUCUGUGCCAGCCG